RNAcentral lists this ribosomal RNA (450 nucleotides) under uncultured bacterium. Its description in RNAcentral is "partial 16S ribosomal RNA". It matches the Rfam family "Bacterial small subunit ribosomal RNA", at positions 338 to 795 of the family's 1533-position model. The record is from RNAcentral.
CCUACGGGAGGCAGCAGUGAGGAAUAUUGGGCAAUGGCCGAAAGGGUGACCCAGCAACGCCGCGUGGAGGAUGAAGGUCGUAAGAUUGUAAACUCCUGUUAGAGGGGAAGAAUAACUAAGUUUGGAGCUGAGUAUGACUGUACCCUCAGAGAAAGCCCCGGCUAACUACGUGCCAGCAGCCGCGGUAAUACGUAGGGGGCAAGCGUUGCCGGGAGUUAAUGGGGGGAAAGGGGGAGCAGACGGAAGGGAUGAAAUCCUACAGCUUAACUGUAGAACUGCAUUUGAUACUGUCAUUCUUGAGUUCGGGAGAGAGAGACGGAAUUCCAGGUGUAGUGGUGAAAUACGUAGAUAUCUGGAAGAACACCAGUUGCGAAGGCGGUCUCUUGGUCCGAUACUGACGCUGAGGCGCGAAAGCGUGGGGAGCAAACAGGAUUAGAUACCCUGGUAGUC